Molecule: long non-coding RNA, 5101 nt
Organism: Sinocyclocheilus grahami
Lineage: Eukaryota; Metazoa; Chordata; Actinopteri; Cypriniformes; Cyprinidae
Source: Ensembl
CAUCAAUGUUUUACAGGAUCUCCUGGAGGCCACUCCUUAAACACGUCAGUGCUCCAUAUUAAAGCAGAGAGUCGAGGAUCAAGGAUUGUGUUACUUAGAUUUAUGUAGAUAUAGAUCACACACAAGACAUAACUAGCUUUUAGUUAAACACGGUCGAUCUCUGACCGCCUGAAAUUAUGAGAGAUAACAUCAAUGUUUUACAGGAUCUCCUGGAGGCCACUCCUUAAACACGUCAGUGCUCCAUAUUAAAGCAGAGAGUCGAGGAUCAAGGAUUGUCAGAAAACAUUAUGAAACCUACAAUGAACCAGCCAGACACCAAAUGUGUAUUGGCAAUAUUUGUGGCUGCGUCAAGUACUCUAUGUGUAGCAGCAUGCCCAGAGAGCCAUUUCCAAGUUGAAACGCUGUGCUGCUUGAACUGCCAAGAAGGUGAGUAUGUUGCCCGCAACUGCUCUGGAGGACCCAGAGUCCACAUUGGUGUGCUAUGCAAUCCAUGCCGCAGAUGUGAAGAAAUUGAAGAGAUAACUGUUUCCCAUUGCACACAGUUUUCAGACACACAGUGUGCCAGUAUACACAGAAAAGUGCAACAGAUAACCUUGUUUGGUUUCUCGUCUGUGAUAGCCGCUGUUGUCAUUCUGGCUGUGAUUCUGGCAGCCUGCUUCUUUUGCAGAAUCAGAAAAUCUGGUGAAUCUGAUGGAAGCUCUGCAGGAGAACCAUUCCAUAUUUCCAUAUAAAAGAUGCAGAGAGUCUGAAGAAAAUCUUAACUCAGGAAAAAGGCCAGCAUCAAAUACUGUAUUUUAUCAUUCAAAGGUUAAUUAAAAUGACAAAUACAGCAGUACAUUUUUAAAUAUAAAAAUUGUUACAAUUUUUUAUUGUAAUAUAUAUAUAUAUAUAUAUAUAUAUUGUGUGUGUGGGGGGGGGGGUACAUUUUAUUUUAAGGACCAAUUCUAACUGCUAACUAACUACUCAAGUCAAACCACCUUUAUUUAUAUAGUGCUUUAUACAAUACAGAUUGUGUCAAAGUAGCUUUACAGUUAAACAGGAAAAUAGUGUGAUGCAAGCAAGAUUCAAUGCUGCUAUAAAGCAGCUCUAAAAAGAGGACAAUAGUAAACAGUAGUAAACUAUUUUUAUUUUUGCCUCCAUGUACUCCUAAUUUGCUGCUAGUUAGUAAGGGAGUUGUUACAUUUUUGUAUAGGGUAGAAUUAAGGGAUCUAAAAUACAGACAUGCAGAAUUAAUAUGUGCAUUAAGUAGUAAUAAACAUCGGAUAUGCAUGCUAAUAAACAACUAGUUAAUAGUGAGAAUUGGUCCUUAAAUAUAUAUAGGUGUGUGCACAUCUGUUUAUAUUGAUGUCAUAUUUAGAAAUGUAUCUGUGUUUAAAAAUACCUGCUGCUGCUGCAUGAUGCCGUUCAUCAUUUUUAUUUUAUAUUAUUUUUUUAAGAAGAAAAGACAAUACAAGAAAAGAAAAGAAAAGAAAACAUAUCUAUUUGGAACUUAUCUAUAGUAUCUAUAGUAUUUUUGUAUCAGAUAUUUGUACUUUAACAAACUUAUAUUAUCUUCUGCAAGCAGAAAAACAAACACCUACACCUAUGUAGCACUCUAAAUGUAAAUUUUAUUUGCACUAAUUGGAAGUUGGGAAUUGCACCUUGUAUUAAUUAUGUUGUCACGGAAUUCCAAAAUGUUUUACCAAACAUUCUUUUGUUUGAUUUGAACUGUGACUGUGAAUCUUCAAUGAUUUAGCCCAAUAUCUUAUGAACAACAUUUGUUGUGAUGCAGUGUCAUGUUUCUGAUGAUAGAAUACCUUAUCUAAAUGGCCUUUUAAAUGUUGAUGACUGAAUUUGAUGACUGCCAAGACAAACAUAAAGUUUACUAUUUUAAGUCAGUUCUUGUGUGUUCAUGUGUCUCUAUUUGUGUUGUGGAGUAAAUACUGCAUUUAACAGUGCUAUAGGGGGCCUUAAAUGCCCAAAUGAUGGCUGUAUAGAAAGCAUAUAUAUACAUACAGGCAGGAAAUACAGGAGAUACAGUUGUUUUCAUUCCUGGUCCUGGAGACCCACAUCACUGCACAUUUUGUACACUGUAAAAAAUGACCGUGAACUUAACGGUAAAAGACUGUAAAAAUGCGACAUUAAAAACCUGUUAAAUGGCUAAUGGUAAAUUCCCCUACACUUGACUAUAUACGGUGAAAAACUGUAUUGGACAUUGCAUGUAAUUUUACGGUAGUAUACCGUUUUUGGUAUAAUUUACAGUGAAUAACCGUAAAUUGACAUUCCCAGAAUUCCCUGCGUUACAUUUUAAAUUUGAUGUUUUUUGUUGAAAUAGCUGUUUCUUCUUAGAUUAUUUUCUUAUCAGUUUUGUAUAUUAUGGUUGUAUGAUACACCUAAUGUUGCUAAAUGAAUGUUUAUUGCAUUAUUUCAGUUUCAUGUGUGUUACCAUGAUGGUGUUUAGUGUUUGUGUGAAUGACGCUGUGCACCUUCUAUAUAUUUUAUUUAAAAGCUGAUUGUGAUGGGCUUUGGUUCAUCAUGUGACUUUCUCAUCACCUCCUGCAUUUGGUGGUUAUCAGUGUAUUACAAAGGUCCAAAACAGAUUUCAGUACUUCAAUAGGUUGAUAUAUUAACAUUAUUUCAGUUAAUGAAGUUACGGUAUUUAACUGUAAAUUUAAGUUAAACCCGUAAAACCUAAAAUGUUGCUACCGUAUUUAUGGUAAAAUUCCAGCAACCACAUCUGCUGUUUUUUUACCAUAAAUUUUACAGAUUUUUUUUUUUUUUUUACAGUGUAUGUCCGUCUCUGACACACUUAGUUAAGUUCAUGGAGUGCUCUGCUAAUGUUAAACAAGUGUUAAAUAUGGAUGACAUACAAGAUGUUCAGUGCCAUGACAAGACUGAAAAGCACUGGUUUAUUGUAGACAGAGUCAGGUGAAUGAGGAGGAAUGCAGAUCACUGGCAAAGGCAGUUGACAAAAACAAUAAGCAAUGGCAGUCUCAAUUUAAUCAAAGAUGAAGAAGUAUUGACCAAGUAUUCAACAGCCAAUUGAGAAAGGAAUUUUGCAGCAAAUCAAUGUUUACAGCCUUGAAUGCAUUAAUGCAAUGCAAAUUGCUUUGAAUAAAAGUGUCUGCUAAAAGCACAAGUGUAAAUUCUCAAAUAAGGUUAGAAAUAAAUUAAACUUUGUAGCUGAAUGAAAUUUGUUUUAUUUAUUCAUUUAACCCUGGACAAGUAAAUUACAUAUACAUUUUUUAGGCUAUAAUGAAAUUAGAAUGAUCAACCAUUUAAUUUCAGCACUUCAUGAACUGACAACUAAAUAGCACGCAGGCCAUCAUGUAGAGCAUGUACGCACAUGUUGGGAGUAUUCCUAGUAAACAGAAAAGGAAUGACUGUUUGUAUAUGUUCUUCACAGAGAUCACUCAGAAUAGAAUGUGUCGUUGAAUGUGUUCUUUUUUUAGAGAAAAAAAAAAAAAUGGAAGAUAACUCCCCUUCCCCUCACCCCCCACAAAUUAAAUUACACAGAUAAAGAAGUUAUUAUACCAAGGCUAAGACAGACAAAUCCACAUAUUUUCAAAUACAAAAGCGCAACAUAUAUACACACACACACAUCAAUCAGCAGCGUGAGAGGCAUUUAACAUUGACUCUGCCAAUAUUUAGUUAUUUUCCAGAAAUUGUAUAAACCGAUGUCAAAUUUUAUGGUAGUCCUUUCGUUUACCCUUUAUACUGCAGGUUAUUUUUUUCCAGUGCAAUAAUGCGCCAGAUCUUUCAACCAAUGAUCAAUGGAUGGAUAAUGGAAUGUGUUCUAUUAUAAGUACUAAUAAACUUGUAACCUAAUAAACCCUGAAGCCCACAAACACCCACAUACCUUUUUCAGGUUCUUUGAAACAUGCACUAUGGAUCCCAUAGAACAAGUUCCUGAACUGUUCCCCACAGAACAGAAAUAGCUCAGGAGGAGGUAAGAAUCUUCACUCACAAAAAAAAAAAAAAAACAUGGAAGAUAACUCCCCUUCCCCUCACCCCCCACAAAUUAAAUUACACAGAUAAAGAAGUUAUUAUACCAAGGCUAAGACAGACAAAUCCACAUAUUUUCAAAUACAAAAGCGCAACAUAUAUACACACACACACAUCAAUCAGCAGCGUGAGAGGCAUUUAACAUUGACUCUGCCAAUAUUUAGUUAUUUUCCAGAAAUUGUAUAAACCGAUGUCAAAUUUUAUGGUAGUCCUUUCGUUUACCCUUUAUACUGCAGGUUAUUUUUUUCCAGUGCAAUAAUGCGCCAGAUCUUUCAACCAAUGAUCAAUGGAUGGAUAAUGGAAUGUGUUCUAUUAUAAGUACUAAUAAACUUGUAACCUAAUAAACCCUGAAGCCCACAAACACCCAUUUCUCAGGAUUCACAGUUGUGAAGACUGAAUACCUUUUUCAGGUUCUUUGAAACAUGCACUAUGGAUCCCAUAGAACAAGUUCCUGAACUGUUCCCCACAGAACAGAAAUAGCUCAGGAGGAGGUAAGAAUCUUCACUCACAAAAUGAAACAGAUGCGCACAAUGUUGUAACAACUUUACCAAAGUGAACUGAACUGCUGUCACACACAGCUAUAGUAACAAAGCCAUUUACUUGUUGACAUUUUGAACUGCAUAGCCAGAAGUAGUUUUUGUAGUCAAGUUAUAGUAAAAGUUAUACUUAAAGGGAUAGUUCACCCAAAAAUAACAAAUAUGUCAUUAAUUACUCACCCUUGUGUCGUUCCAAACCCGAAAGACCUUCGUUCAUCUUUGGAACACAAAUUAAGAUACUUUUUGAUGAAUUCCCGAGAGCUCUCUGGCCCUCCAAUAGACAGCAAGGGUCCUAACACGAUCAAGGUCCAGAAACGUAGCAAGGAGAUCACUAAAAUAAUCCAUGUGACAUCAGUGGUUCAACCGUAAUUUUACAAAGCUACGAGAAUACUUCUUGUGCACAAAAGAAAACAAAUAAUUGGCGCCAGGGUGAUGUGGACGAGAAGAAUUGUUGAAUAAAUUUGUUAUUUGUUUUCUUUGCGCACAGAAAGUAUUCUCGGAGCUUCGUAAAAUUACGUUUGAACCACUGACGUCACAUUGAUUAUUUUACCCAUGUCCUACGUUUCUGAGCCUUGAUCGUG